Molecule: ribosomal RNA, 466 nt
Filed under: uncultured bacterium
Lineage: Bacteria
Description: bacterial SSU rRNA
Rfam family: Bacterial small subunit ribosomal RNA
Source: RNAcentral
UGGGGAAUCUUGGACAAUGGGUGAGAGCCUGAUCCAGCCAUGCCGCGUGCAGGAAGAAGGCGUUAUGCGUUGUAAACUGCUUUUGCCAGGGGAUAAAAAGACCGUGCGCGGUUAAUUGAAGGUACCUGGUGAAUAAGCCACGGCUAACUACGUGCCAGCAGCCGCGGUAAUACGUAGGUGGCAAGCGUUGUCCGGAUUUAUUGGGUUUAAAGGGUGCGUAGGUGGCCCUGUAAGUCAGUGGUGAAAUAUCUCAGCUUAACUGAGAGGGUGCCAUUGAUACUGCAGGGCUUGAGUACAGAUGAGGUAGGCGGAAUUGACGGUGUAGCGGUGAAAUGCAUAGAUAUCGUCAAGAACACCGAUAGCGAAGGCAGCUUACCAAGCUGUAACUGACACUGAGGCACGAAAGUGUGGGGAUCAAACAGGAUUAGAUACCCCUGUAGUCCCUGAGCGGGCUGGCAAGGCGCAU